RNAcentral lists this transfer RNA (64 nucleotides) under Caudoviricetes sp. RNAcentral's name for it is "tRNA-Arg". Lineage: Duplodnaviria; Heunggongvirae; Uroviricota; Caudoviricetes. The record is from RNAcentral.
AAGACCGCAUCCUCUCUGACUACGAAUCAGAAGGUCGGGGGUUCGAGUCCCUUCCGGCGCACCA